Small nuclear RNA from Capra hircus (goat), 98 nucleotides. The record is from Ensembl. NCBI's taxonomy places the organism in Eukaryota, Metazoa, Chordata, Mammalia, Artiodactyla, Bovidae.
GCGCUUUGGCAGCACAUACAGUAAAACUGCAACAAUACAGAGAUUAUUGUUCUCUGAGCAAGGAUGACAUGCAAAUUUGUGAAGCUUUCUCUUUUGUA